UACAGGGGGCUCGAGCGUUAGUCGGAAUCACUGGGCUUAAAGGGUGCGUAGGCGGCCCGCCAAGUGCUUUGUGAAAUCCCAUGGCUCAACCAUGGAACAGCAGGGCAAACUGGCGGGCUUGAGGCAGGUAGGGGCCGGAAGAACAGUUGGUGGAGCGGUGAAAUGCGUAGAUAUCAACUGGAAUGCCGAUGGGGAAGCCGUUCGGCUGGGCCUGUCCUGACGCUGAGGCACGAAAGCGUGGGGAGCAAACAGG
This 253-nucleotide ribosomal RNA is filed under the name uncultured bacterium. RNAcentral's name for it is "partial 16S ribosomal RNA". It matches the Rfam family "Bacterial small subunit ribosomal RNA", at positions 524 to 776 of the family's 1533-position model. The record is from RNAcentral.